Molecule: unclassified non-coding RNA, 22 nt
Filed under: Mus musculus (house mouse)
Lineage: Eukaryota; Metazoa; Chordata; Mammalia; Rodentia; Muridae
Description: oocyte_clustered_small_RNA1344
Source: RNAcentral
UUUAAAGGGCUGGAUUUGUAGA